RNAcentral lists this long non-coding RNA (229 nucleotides) under Sorghum bicolor (sorghum). Its description in RNAcentral is "long non-coding RNA (SBIC_LNC017653)". The record is from RNAcentral. Lineage: Eukaryota; Viridiplantae; Streptophyta; Magnoliopsida; Poales; Poaceae.
CUUCCCCACCAGCACAAAGGCAGCAGUCCCUCCUUCCCCUUGGUGCUGCCCUACUCCUUCUCCUCUCCCUGUUGAUGCUGAUGGCGCCCUUCCUCCUCUCCUCCCUUCUCCCAGCCAUGGCGCCCUCCCUUCCCAUCCUCACCUUGGAGAAAGCCCCCUCCUCUUGCAGCAAGCUAGGGCGCCCAUCUUCCCCUCCCUUUACUGCAGCAAGCAGCAACCCUGCUCUAGU